RNAcentral lists this small RNA (93 nucleotides) under Flavobacterium sp. 1. Its description in RNAcentral is "Flavo-1 RNA". It matches the Rfam family "Flavo-1 RNA". Lineage: Bacteria; Pseudomonadati; Bacteroidota; Flavobacteriia; Flavobacteriales; Flavobacteriaceae. The record is from RNAcentral.
CUUUAGCCCCGAUAGAAGUGGAAAUCCUUGUAAGCCGUCUCGUCCCAAAAGACGAGACGGCUUACAAGAUUGAAGCGGAUAGCGGGACAAUAU